GUGCUCGCUUCGGCAGCACAUAUACUAACAUUGGAACGAUACAGAGAUUAGCAUGGCCCCUGCGCAAGGAUAACACGCAAAUUCGUGAAGCAUUCCAUAUUUUU
Molecule: small nuclear RNA, 104 nt
Filed under: Cebus imitator (Panamanian white-faced capuchin)
Lineage: Eukaryota; Metazoa; Chordata; Mammalia; Primates; Cebidae
Source: RNAcentral